CCAGCAACCUAUGAACCGAACGCGUUCAAUUUCCCAACAGCAUUCUUGGGAGGAAGGGGCAUAUCAGCAUCAGCCGGAAUAGAUCCGGCAGAAUGGACGUCCGGAGAGACUGGACCCAACUGAAUAAUAAAUCCCGCACGACCCCCCCUGGCCCCCUCCCCUAUACAAUCCAUGAAAUGUUCCGUCAUCUGCGGACUUGCUCACGGCAAUUGCUUGGUGAAUCAUUUAGACUGGAACUGGCCCGUCACGGAUGGAUAUACUACCCCGACGACUGUGUGUUUCUGUGUCCCUUUUUGUGAUGGAAAUCAAUCCCGGCCACAGCAGCAGCAGCAGAAACAAAUGAAUAAUCAAAAUGAAUCUGACAUUAUAUCCCUGCUGCACGGCCAGAGCGUGAUUCAAUCAUUUCCAAAUCGGGCAAUGGAUAGUAUCAUCAUCAAAAUGUCCAUCAACCUUGCUUGAUUUGUCUCUCUUAUCUGUGUGUGUUUGUGUGUAUUCCAUUUGUGGUUUGCGCAAUAAUAAAAUAUCAUCUUUUUUUCGAUAGCGGGAGUUAAUAGUGAGGGUGGGGGGAGGUUCCUAUAGAUUUUUGGGUGGGGCAAAAAAAACAAACA
Daphnia pulicaria is the source of this 608-nucleotide long non-coding RNA. RefSeq lists it as uncharacterized. Lineage: Eukaryota; Metazoa; Arthropoda; Branchiopoda; Diplostraca; Daphniidae. The transcript has 2 exons. The record is from RefSeq and is a predicted model, not a curated record.